CAAACCAAAGCUGGCGACCGGCGCACGGGUGAGUAACACGUAUCCAACCUGCCUCAUACUCGGGGAUAGCCUUUCGAAAGAAAGGUUAAUAUCCGAUAGCAUAUAUUUCCCGCAUGGGUUUUAUAUUAAAGAAAUUCGGUAUGAGAUGGGGAUGCGUUCCAUUAGUUUGUUGGGGGGUAACGGCCCACCAAGACUACGAUGGAUAGGGGUUCUGAGAGGAAGGUCCCCCACAUUGGAACUGAGACACGGUCCAA
Molecule: ribosomal RNA, 254 nt
Filed under: uncultured bacterium
Lineage: Bacteria
Description: partial 16S ribosomal RNA
Rfam family: Bacterial small subunit ribosomal RNA
Source: RNAcentral